Lycium barbarum (goji berry) is the source of this 1023-nucleotide long non-coding RNA. RefSeq lists it as uncharacterized. The transcript has 3 exons. NCBI's taxonomy places the organism in Eukaryota, Viridiplantae, Streptophyta, Magnoliopsida, Solanales, Solanaceae. The record is from RefSeq and is a predicted model, not a curated record.
CCCACUGUCCACAAUGAAAAUAUACCAUGAAGGUGGGAAGCAAAGGACUUUGUAUGGAAUUUUGGUUCCUUUUUGAAAGGAAUAGUUGACAAAGUGUAAAAAGGGAGUCUUUGGCUAAGCUACAACUACACCAUCGAGACGUGAAUCCAAAUAUGUUACUCAAGAACAAUUGUGGACAACAACUUCAUAUUCCCUUUAAGGGGAAACUAACGUGAUACUAUUCACGACGUGGAUCUGUAUGAAGAAGCAAAAUAAAGAGCGACGUUAAGGUUAUAUCCGCAUCGGUAACGUGAUUCUAACAUCAGUUUCCUCCGGAUAGCAAAUCAGAGAGUUUUUUGUAGUGAAGUAAAGUGGAAGAAGAAUAGUUCUUGCCAUAUAAGGUUGAAGUGCUAAUUGAGGCGAGUUCGUUAUUGAGUGCGUAUGGACUACAAGAGGUUCAGACAGGUUGACAGAAGGAUUGCACUGAUGAGAUUUGCCGAGUAUCAGCUUGGAUUGGUGAGCUCCACUUCUUUCUGGAGUGUUGCCGAGUCAGUAUGUCGUAUAUGUAUUUCAGGUUAUGGUUACGUCGGAGCCCUGUCCCAACAUAUAUAUACACAUUACAGUUAUGUAUUCUUAGAGACUUUUGCAGACGGAUCCUGUGUAUAGUUUUGUUGUGUUUUUGUCAGGUUGGGAUGUCGGCCUAUAAGGCCCUUAUAUAUAUAUAUGUCUUUUGGGCUGUUAUUACAGAGACAUUUUGGCAUAAAUGGCCCCAAGAUUAUUUAUGUAUGAUAUUGUGUUCACAUGUUGGCCUCGUUGGCCUUGCUUGUCCUUCGGGACUUAGACGAUCAAAGUUAUAGUCUGGUUCGCUCGGCCCUAAUUAGGUGUCGGGUGCCAAUCAUACCUCACCAAGGUUAGGGUGUGACAGUGGGACUUCAUUUAACAUUCAUUUGUUAUAUUAGUUCCGGGAUGUAUUGUGAGUUUAGCUUUAUUCAUUCUUCUUAGAAGCUACACACACAUAUGUUAUUACUGUGGGUAGUAUUUUGU